This 547-nucleotide ribosomal RNA is filed under the name uncultured bacterium. Its description in RNAcentral is "bacterial SSU rRNA". It matches the Rfam family "Bacterial small subunit ribosomal RNA", at positions 122 to 664 of the family's 1533-position model. The record is from RNAcentral.
GAAUCUGCCUGGUAGUGGGGGAUAACGUCCGGAAACGGACGCUAAUACCGCAUACGUCCUACGGGAGAAAGCAGGGGACCUUCGGGCCUUGCGCUAUCAGAUGAGCCUAGGUCGGAUUAGCUAGUUGGUGGGGUAAUGGCUCACCAAGGCGACGAUCCGUAACUGGUCUGAGAGGAUGAUCAGUCACACUGGAACUGAGACACGGUCCAGACUCCUACGGGAGGCAGCAGUGGGGAAUAUUGGACAAUGGGCGAAAGCCUGAUCCAGCCAUGCCGCGUGUGUGAAGAAGGUCUUCGGAUUGUAAAGCACUUUAAGUUGGGAGGAAGGGCAGUAAAUUAAUACUUUGCUGUUUUGACGUUACCGACAGAAUAAGCACCGGCUAACUCUGUGCCAGCAGCCGCGGUAAUACAGAGGGUGCAAGCGUUAAUCGGAAUUACUGGGCGUAAAGCGCGCGUAGGUGGUUCGUUAAGUUGGAUGUGAAAUCCCCGGGCUCAACCUGGGAACUGCAUUCAAAACUGACGAGCUAGAGUAUGGUAGAGGGUGGUGG